RNAcentral lists this small RNA (1867 nucleotides) under Drosophila ananassae. Its description in RNAcentral is "GF26905". Lineage: Eukaryota; Metazoa; Arthropoda; Insecta; Diptera; Drosophilidae. The record is from RNAcentral.
CUGCACGCAUCCGCUACACGCGACCUGCUCGACGCUACGAACCCCAUCGAGCUCGAACAUGUUGCGCCUCAGGUCUCAGGCCGGUAAAAAGUGAAAUUUUCUCCCCACCACAACCUGGCCUGGUGGGAGCUUCGAACAUGCCUGUUUGCCUGUUGCGCGUUGCAAGAGAUCACAUUGCCGUGUUGAGUAAUCAGCAAUCUGGAAAUCGUUCUGAGCCUGCACAUUUGAAACUAGAACGUGAUUGCCGCACAAACAGUGGCGGGGCGGGAGGGAGCUGGGCGGCCAUCGCUCUUGACUCGAGCCCCAACCAGCAUAAGCUGGUCUGGGGCCUGUGGUGACGUAAGCGUCUUACAAAAAAAAAUUUGGAGAGUAAACACAUUAUUAAUAAUCGAGAAUGGCAUUACAUACAGGGGUACCAGGUGGAGUUAUUUUACAAUGGUGAUCGACUUUGAUAAUGCAUCUGAACCCAGAAAACCCUAGGCGUUCCAAUGGAUCACGUGGCUUUGAAACUUUGGAUAUUUACAAGCGAGUCUCCCUCCGAUAAGGUAUACAGUGGCGUCGAUAUCUCUGCAGCCACCACACUGUCUGUAAAUUUUUCCAUGACGUUCGGACGCCAUGACCUCUACAAACACGUCAACGGAUUUUCUGGGCACAUGCUUCUCUUGGUUGGAGAUUCCGAUUUCUAUUCUGGCCUGGUCUGGUCUGGUCUGGCCUGGCCUGUCUGUGCAACGUGAGGAAACAUGCCAUUUGAUUACCACAGCAACGCUGGACGCACGUCAUCUUGCCCCCCGCCGAAAAUCUCCAACUACAGACCCCUGCCCCCCUCCCCCAACAGUGGAAAACCCCAUUUUCUAACUGUUACGCUGGCACACAGACCCCAAAUGCAACAUGUUCGAUGCGAUGACGGCGGCAGCGCUGCUGGAAAAACGUGAGCCGCAAACGUGACAGCGGUUCGAUGCGAUUGCUGGCUGGCCUACUGACGGGGCUCGAUGGUCUCACCUGCGGGGGCGAGCGGGCUGGAUGGGCGGGUAGGUGGUGCUUACACCAUUCGAACGAUAAACAUUGUAUGGCCCAGGCACGUUGCCUCCGGCAAUCAGUUGCAGGUGAACCUCUAGGCCGGAGGAGCAAUGGGGUGGCGGGUGCGUCUCUCAAAACGAGCACUCGAAAGUCACAUUACUCGCUGUGCCUAUUACAUGACACACAAACAACGGAGGCGGCGAGCGCCCCAGACGACGGGGAGUAACAAUUGUUUGGACUUAGCCGUGGCAAUCAGCCGGACACCUGUAAGCGGCAACGUGAUGAAAAGCGUGCCCGCGAAUCAUCAUCGUCGAAGGCGACUAGAGGCUGUUUAGGGGUUAACCGCAUUUAAUUGAUUUGGAAAUGUUUAGCGGCUAUUUCUCUGUAUUUCUAGUAACUGGAAGAUCAUUUAUUAAUAGAAUAAAAAUCCCUAAUCCCAUUAGACAUCUUUAAAGUUAUUUAUUUAAGAAAUUAAGGACAUUAUCCCCCCAUAUUUUAAGGUGUGAGAAGACACUAAUUUCUAGAACUGGUGCGGGGGUGGCAGAGCCGCCAACGUCGGCGUGGCGUCCGCGUCGGCGUUGGCCGCGUAAUGAGUGCAAAUGUGAAUGAACUUCCCGCAGACGCACACGCAGCACCAUCAGCUUCUCUCCGUCCCUGCCCCCCCAGUAACUGUCCGAAAAAAAUCUCGGAAACAACAGUGGCAACAAUAUGCUGGCUUUUGACUGACGAAGCUUACAACUUUCACACCGCACAACAUCGAAACGUCUCGCAAACACACACUCAUACACGAGAAAGGCCCCAGAGGCCAAGUCUUCUACGUAUCCCCCCUUAAUUUAUACCUAUGGAGGUA